This 1395-nucleotide ribosomal RNA is filed under the name Triticum aestivum (bread wheat). RNAcentral's name for it is "partial small subunit ribosomal RNA". Lineage: Eukaryota; Viridiplantae; Streptophyta; Magnoliopsida; Poales; Poaceae. The record is from RNAcentral.
AUGGAGUCGCUUCUUCUUCUUCUCGCAGGCUCUCUCAUCUUCCCUCUUGUGGCUCCUGCCAGGGAGAUCACCAACGCCUGCACCUCACAAGCUAAUGAUUUUCAGCACAUGAAUGGCACCGGCAUGCACCUGACGCUGCACCACCCGCAGAGCCCCUGCUCGCCGGCGCCUCUGCCGUCGGACCUCCCCUUCUCCGCCGUGAUCGCCCACGACGAGGCGCGCAUCGCCCGCCUCGCCUCGCGCCUCGCCAAGACUCCCUCCCGCCACCCGACGUCGCUCCGCCAACAGCACCGCGAGAAGUCCUCCGGCGAUAACCACCUCGCCGACUCGCUGGCCAGCUCGGUGCCGCUCGCGCCCGGCGCGUCGGUGGGCGUGGGAAACUACGUCACCCAGCUGGGCCUCGGCACGCCGGCGACCUCCUACGCCAUGGUCGUCGACACGGGGUCGUCGCUCACGUGGCUCCAGUGCUCCCCCUGCGUGGUGUCGUGCCACCGGCAGGCCGGCCCGCUCUACAACCCGCGCACGUCCAGCACGUACGCCGCGGUGCCGUGCUCGGCGCCGCAGUGCGGGGAGCUGCAGGCCGCCACGCUCAACCCGUCCGCGUGCUCCGCCUCCGGCGUCUGCAUCUACCAGGCCACCUACGGCGACAGCUCCUUCUCCCUCGGGUACCUCAGCAGGGACACCGUCUCCUUCGGCUCCGGCAGGUUCCCCGGCUUCUACUACGGGUGCGGCCAGGACAACGAGGGCCUCUUCGGCCGGUCGGCCGGGCUCAUCGGCCUCGCGCGGAACAAGCUGUCGCUGCUCUACCAGCUCGCGCCGAGCCUCGGCGGCUCUUUCUCCUACUGCCUGCCGACAUCGGCGUCGACCGGGUACCUGUCCUUCGGGUCGUACAGCCCGGGACAGUACUCGUACACGCCCAUGGUGUCCAGCUCGCUCGACGCCUCGCUCUACUUCGUCAGCCUCGCCAGCAUGUCCGUCGCCGGGAGCCCGCUCACGGUGUCGCCGUCGGAGUAUGGAAGCCUGCCGACGAUCAUCGACUCCGGCACGGUGAUCACGCGCCUGCCCACGGCCGUGUACACGGCGCUGAGCAAGGCGCUAGGCGCAGCCAUGGGCGGAGCGCCCCGCGCGCCGGCGUACUCCAUCCUGGACACGUGCUUCAAGGGCCAGGCGUCAACGCUGCGCGUGCCGGCCAUGGACAUGACGUUCCCCGGAGGCGCGACGCUCAAGCUGGCGCCGGGCAACGUGCUGAUCGACGUGGACGAGUCCACGACGUGCCUCGCGUUCGCGGCCACCGACAGCACGGCGAUCAUCGGGAACACGCAGCAGCAGACGUUCAGCGUCGUCUACGACGUCGCGCAGUCCAGGAUCGGCUUCGCGGCCGGCGGCUGCAGCUGA